This 629-nucleotide ribosomal RNA is filed under the name Pseudomonas sp. c2(2015). RNAcentral's name for it is "bacterial SSU rRNA". It matches the Rfam family "Bacterial small subunit ribosomal RNA", at positions 58 to 682 of the family's 1533-position model. Lineage: Bacteria; Pseudomonadati; Pseudomonadota; Gammaproteobacteria; Pseudomonadales; Pseudomonadaceae. The record is from RNAcentral.
CAAGUCGAGCGGUAGAGAGGUGCUUGCACCUCUUGAGAGCGGCGGACGGGUGAGUAAUACCUAGGAAUCUGCCUGGUAGUGGGGGAUAACGUUCGGAAACGGACGCUAAUACCGCAUACGUCCUACGGGAGAAAGCAGGGGACCUUCGGGCCUUGCGCUAUCAGAUGAGCCUAGGUCGGAUUAGCUAGUUGGUGAGGUAAUGGCUCACCAAGGCUACGAUCCGUAACUGGUCUGAGAGGAUGAUCAGUCACACUGGAACUGAGACACGGUCCAGACUCCUACGGGAGGCAGCAGUGGGGAAUAUUGGACAAUGGGCGAAAGCCUGAUCCAGCCAUGCCGCGUGUGUGAAGAAGGUCUUCGGAUUGUAAAGCACUUUAAGUUGGGAGGAAGGGCAUUAACCUAAUACGUUAGUGCUUUGACGUUACCGACAGAAUAAGCACCGGCUAACUCUGUGCCAGCAGCCGCGGUAAUACAGAGGGUGCAAGCGUUAAUCGGAAUUACUGGGCGUAAAGCGCGCGUAGGUGGUUUGUUAAGUUGAAUGUGAAAUCCCCGGGCUCAACCUGGGAACUGCAUCCAAAACUGGCAAGCUAGAGUAUGGUAGAGGGUGGUGGAAUUUCCUGUGUAGCGGU